UACGUAGGGUGCAAGCGUUGUCCGGAAUCGUUGGGCGUAAAGAGCGUGUAGGCGGCCCGAUAAGUCCGCUGUGAAAGUCCAGGGCUCAACCCUGGAAUGCCAGUGGAAACUGUCGGGCUAGAGUCCGGAAGAGGCGAGUGGAAUUCCUGGUGUAGCGGUGAAAUGCGCAGAUAUCAGGAGGAACACCAAUGGCGAAGGCAGCUCGCGGGGACGGUUACUGACGCUGAGACGCGAAAGCGUGGGGAGCAAACAGG
RNAcentral lists this ribosomal RNA (254 nucleotides) under uncultured bacterium. RNAcentral's name for it is "partial 16S ribosomal RNA". It matches the Rfam family "Bacterial small subunit ribosomal RNA", at positions 524 to 776 of the family's 1533-position model. The record is from RNAcentral.